RNAcentral lists this transfer RNA (16 nucleotides) under Enicognathus leptorhynchus (slender-billed parakeet). RNAcentral describes it as "partial tRNA-Thr". Lineage: Eukaryota; Metazoa; Chordata; Aves; Psittaciformes; Psittacidae. The record is from RNAcentral.
UAUACUUCUUAGAGUU